UACGUAGGGUGCGAGCGUUGUCCGGAAUUACUGGGCGUAAAGAGCUCGUAGGUGGUUUGUCGCGUUGUUCGUGAAAACUCACAGCUCAACUGUGGGCGUGCGGGCGAUACGGGCAGACUGGAGUACUGCAGGGGAGACUGGAAUUCCUGGUGUAGCGGUGGAAUGCGCAGAUAUCAGGAGGAACACCAAUGGCGAAGGCAGCUCGCUGGAACGGUACUGACGCUGAGGCGCGAAAGCGUGGGGAGCAAACAGG
Molecule: ribosomal RNA, 253 nt
Filed under: uncultured bacterium
Lineage: Bacteria
Description: partial 16S ribosomal RNA
Rfam family: Bacterial small subunit ribosomal RNA
Source: RNAcentral